GUGCAAUGCAAUGAGGGUGUGCAAAGCGAAAGGAGAGCAACAGCGUGCGAUACACAAUGGGUGUGCAAAGAAAGAUGGGAGCAGCGUGCAAUGCUUUGGGGGUGUGUGCGAUGCACAAGGGGCGUGCAAAGGAAGAUGAGAGCAGCGUGCAAUGCACAACAUGCGUGCAAAGGAAGAUGGGAGCAGUGUGCAAUGCUUUGGGGGAGUGCAAAGGAAAUGGGAGCAACGUGCAAUGCACAAGCGGCGUGCAAAGCAAAACGAGGGCAACAUGCAAUGCAAUGAGGGCAUGCAAAGCAAAAUGGGAGAAACGUGCAAUGCACAAGGGGCGUGCAAGGCAAAAUGGGAGCAGUGUGUAGUGCUCUGGGGGUGCGCAUUUGCACGUGGGGUGUGCAAAGCAAAAUGGGAGUGGCGUUCAAUGCUCUGGGGGUGUGCAAUGCACAAGGGGCGUGCAAAGCAAAAUGAGAGCAACGUGCAAGGCUCCAAGGUCGUGCAAAGAGAGAAGUGUGCAUCGCUCCGGGGGUGUGCAUUUGCACGUGGGAUGUGCAAAGGAAAAUGAGGGCAAUGCGCAACGCUUUGCAGGUGUGCAAUGCACAAGAGGUGUACAAAGCAAAAUGGGAGCAACGUGCAUCACUCUGGGGGUGUGCAAUGCACAAGGGGCGUGCAAAGCAAAAUGAAAGUGAGAAAAACUGCGGGUGUGCGAUGGAAUGGCGGCGUGCAAGGGAGUGGGUGUGCAAGAGGACAAGUGUGCAAGGGGUGAGUGUGCAAAACGGGGGGGUAUGGGGCCCUGAGUGACCUCAAUUCCGCCCCUCCCCCGCCAUUUAUAGUUGUGUUGCACGGAGUGCUCACACCUGCAGCGGUGCAUUGUGCGCUGUGAGUGUGCAACGUGCAAUGGGUGUGCAACGUGCAGUGGGUGUGCAACGUGCAAUGGGUGUGCACGGUGCUGCGUUGAGCCGUGCAUUUCACACGCCUUGUGCAAUGAGCGUGCACCAUGGGGUGAGUGUGCAGCGCUUGUGCACUGUGCACUGGGCGUGCAACGUGUAGCAAGUGUGCAAUGUGCGAUGAGUGUGCACUGUGCAGCGCUUGUGUGCAAUGAGUGUGCACCAGGCGUUGUGCAUUGCGUGUGCACUGCAGUGAGUGUGCAGCAG
RNAcentral lists this long non-coding RNA (1145 nucleotides) under Chrysolophus pictus (golden pheasant). Its description in RNAcentral is "lncRNA (ENSCPIG00010009568.1)". Lineage: Eukaryota; Metazoa; Chordata; Aves; Galliformes; Phasianidae. The record is from RNAcentral.